GAUGAACGCUAGCGGCAGGCCUAAUACAUGCAAGUCGAGGGGUAACAGAAAAAGCUUGCUUUUUGCUGACGACCGGCGCACGGGUGCGUAACGCGUAUGCAACCUGCCCAUCACUGGGGCAUAGCCCGGGGAAACCCGGAUUAAUACCUCAUGAUACCAUAAAGUAGCAUUGCUUAAUGGUUAAAGAUUUAUUGGUGAUGGAUGGGCAUGCGUCUGAUUAGUUAGUUGGUGAGGUAACGGCUCACCAAGACGACGAUCAGUAGCGGGUCUGAGAGGAUGAUCCGCCACACUGGGUACUGAGACACGGGACCAGACUCCUACGGGAGGCAGCAGUAGGGAAUAUUGGGCAAUGGAGGCAACUCUGACCCAGCCAUGCCGCGUGAAGGAGAAGGCCUUCUGGGUUGUAAACUUCUUUUAUACAGGAAAAAGACCCAUGCUGGGGCAUUGAAUGUACUGUAUGAAUAAGCACCGGCUAACUCCGUGCC
Molecule: ribosomal RNA, 485 nt
Filed under: uncultured bacterium
Lineage: Bacteria
Description: bacterial SSU rRNA
Rfam family: Bacterial small subunit ribosomal RNA
Source: RNAcentral